Molecule: transfer RNA, 76 nt
Filed under: Motilimonas pumila
Lineage: Bacteria; Pseudomonadati; Pseudomonadota; Gammaproteobacteria; Alteromonadales
Description: Motilimonas sp. PLHSC7-2 tRNA-His
Rfam family: tRNA
About the family: Transfer RNA (tRNA) molecules are approximately 80 nucleotides in length. Their secondary structure includes four short double-helical elements and three loops (D, anti-codon, and T loops).
Source: RNAcentral
GCGGAUGUAGCUCAGUUGGUAGAGCCCCGGAUUGUGAUUCCGGUUGUCGCGAGUUCAAUCCUCGUCAUUCGCCCCA